RNAcentral lists this unclassified non-coding RNA (215 nucleotides) under uncultured Orbiliales. Its description in RNAcentral is "sequence contains ITS2". Lineage: Eukaryota; Fungi; Ascomycota; Orbiliomycetes; Orbiliales. The record is from RNAcentral.
CAAACCCUCCGGCACCGGUUUUUCGGAACCGCGCGCCGGGUUUUUGGCGGCGGCGUCACCCCUUCUCCCCUUUCGGGGGUUUAGGGUUCCUGCGCCCCUGCUUAAAUUCGUGAAGUUUGCGGGCCCGUACCACACGACCAUCACGUAGUAAAAAUUUUAUUUUCUCAUGAAGGAUUCGCGUGGAAGGGUGCCCCGCCUCGACACUUAUUUCUGAC